RNAcentral lists this unclassified non-coding RNA (275 nucleotides) under plant metagenome. RNAcentral's name for it is "partial contains small subunit ribosomal RNA, internal transcribed spacer 1, and 5.8S ribosomal RNA". The record is from RNAcentral.
UUUCCGUAGGUGAACCUGCGGAAGGAUCAUUGCAAAUCUGCGAGCGCUGGGUUGGAACCAGGGACCAUCGGUGAGGAAACGCGGUUGGGGGAACCGGCCAGCCGCGCGGUCGCACAGCACUGCUUAUAUAUGCACAGCGUGCUGGUCUCUGACCGCGGGCUUCUGUCUAAAAAUGUUUGUUUGAGACAUAUUUGAAACAAAAAUAAAAAACUUUUAACAACGGUUCUCUUUGCUGUUGCAUCGAAGAAGGCAGCAGAAGGUCGGAAGAGCCAUCG